Molecule: long non-coding RNA, 2323 nt
Filed under: Salmo salar (Atlantic salmon)
Lineage: Eukaryota; Metazoa; Chordata; Actinopteri; Salmoniformes; Salmonidae
Description: lncRNA (ENSSSAG00000119294.1)
Source: RNAcentral
GUGAAUUUAUGGGGUCGCAUGAACAGCGUGUGUGUGAAAUAGCUUGUCUGGACUUCCUCAACUCACUGUCCUCCAGUGGUGAAUGGCAUUGAUUUACGCAGUCCCGUUCCUGUGUGUGUGUGUUGUGACUCUUGACUGUGUGAGGGGGAUUUUAGCUCUGGCGCAAAGUUUUCUUUAUGGCCUUUUACCCACGGGACUCGGCGUGCCGAACGGGAUGGAGACCUCAUGACUGCAGUCUGGGGCGGCACGUCCCCCCCCUCCUCCUCCCUUCCCUUCCCUCCCCUCCUUUUUGUGUAUCUCCUUUGUCUGAUAAGAGGUUGGGCUCCACGCCCCAUUCAUGUCAUGUGCUGCUCAUCACCAUCGCAUGGCAACAACACACACAAUAACGUGUGUUUAUGUCUCUGACUGACUGGUAGUGUGUGUCUCAGGAAUGUAUUUUGAAUGUGCUUGGAACUUCACAUUUUGCUGUUUGUGUGUGUGGUAUCUAAGUGUUUUAGCAUGUGGUAGCAGUGAUCCAAGGAGCAGUCCUGUGAGUGGUGUUAGGUCCCUGUGAGUAGGUGUGUAUUGUCUGGGUCGCCGGCUUUUAGUACUGCAGGUCCUCCACUUACCAUUCAUCCACACCCACGCCUCUCUCAAUCCAUCCUCUCUCCAUCCAUAUCUAGUCUCUAUCCUCUAUCCAUCCUCUCUCCAUCCAUAUCUAGUCUAUAUCCUCUAUCCAUCCUCUCUCCAUCCAUAUCUAGUCUCUAUCCUCUAUCCAUCCUCUCUCCAUCCUUAUCUAGUCUCUAUCCUCUAUCCAUCCUCUCUCCAUCCAUAUCUAGUCUCUAUCCUCUAUCCAUCCUCUCUCCAUCCAUAUCUAGUCUCUAUCCUCUCUCCAUCCAUAUCUAGUCUCUAUCCUCUAUCCAUCCUCUCUCCAUCCAUAUCUAGUCUCUAUCCUCUAUCCAUCCUCUCUCCAUCCAUAUCUAGUCUCUAUCCUCUAUCCAUCCUCUCUCCAUCAAUCUCUAGUCUCUAUCCAUCCUCUCUCCAUCCAUCCUCUCUCCAUCCAUCUCUAGUCUAUCCUCUAUUCAUCCUCUCUCCAUCCAUCCUCUCUCCAUCCAUCUCUAGUCUAUCCUCUAUUCAUCCAUCUUUAGUCUCCAUCCAUCUUCUCUCCAUCCAUCCUCUCUUGUGGACCAAGGAGCAUUCCAUCCUGUGAUUGUUGCAUGAGAUACUGUAUUACAUUCAGACGCACACACAUACAUGCAUGAACACAUAUGCAAACACACACACACACCUUCAGGGGAUGUUCUCCUUGCUGUAGAACAAACAAGACAAUUUUAUUGAUUUAAUUAGCAAAAGCUUUGGUUCUAAAGUAAAGCAUUUCAAUGAUUGGGUUAUAGGGUUAUGAAAUCCAAUAUCAGUUCUGGCCUCAUCACCCUGCUACAAGCUAUGUCCAACAUCUCACCAAUAAAAGAGAGACAGAGAGCAGUGUUGAUCUGUCAGGUCAAGGUCGGGCUGCUUCUGGAUCAGCUGGAUUGAUCUGUGGACAUAAACAUGUAUGCUGGGCCUGUACACGCCUGUGAUUGAGGGCUUUGGGAGUUUGUGUGUGUCCUCUAUUAAGGAUCUGGCCCCUGGUGGGGGUUAUUCAUUGUGUGUGUGUGUACGUGCCCUCUGGUAUGGGGUGUGUGUGUGUGCAUGCCCUCUGGUAUGGGGGGUGUGUGUGUGUGUGUGUGUGUGUGUGUGUGUGUGUGUGUGUGUGUGUGUGUGUGUGUGUGUGUGUGCGGGCCCUCUGGUUUGGGGUGUGUGUGUGUGUGUGUGUGUGCCCUCUGGUACGGGGUGUGUGUGUGCCCUCUGGUAUGGGGUGUGUGUGUGUGUGUGUGUGUGUGUGUGUGUGUGUGUGUGUGUGUGUGUGUGUGUGUGUGUGUGUGUGUGUGUGUGUGUGUGUGCGUGCCCUCUGGUACGGGGUGUGUGUGUGCCCUCUGGUAUGGGGUGUGUGUGUGUGCGUGUGUGUGUGUGUGUGUGUGUGUGUGUGUGUGUGUGUGUGUGUGUGUGUGUGUGUGCGUGCCCUCUGGUACGGGGUGUGUGUGUGCCCUCUGGUAUGGGGUGUGUGUGUGUGCGUGCCCUCUGGUACGGGGUGUGUGUGUGUGUGCGUGCCCUCUGGUAUGGGGUGUGUGUGUGCGUGCCCUCUGGUACGGUGUGUGUGUGUGUGUGUGUGUGUGUGUGUGUGUGUGUGUGUGUGUGCGUGCCCUCUGGUACGGGGUGUGUGUGUGUGUGUGCCCUCUGGUACGGGGUGUGUGUGUGUGCGUGCCCUCUGGUACGGGGUGUGUGUGUGUGUGCCCUCUGGUACGGG